This 335-nucleotide ribosomal RNA is filed under the name Amanita sp. 'pubescens sensu Coker'. RNAcentral describes it as "partial 28S ribosomal RNA". It matches the Rfam family "Eukaryotic large subunit ribosomal RNA", at positions 1 to 326 of the family's 3401-position model. The record is from RNAcentral. Lineage: Eukaryota; Fungi; Basidiomycota; Agaricomycetes; Agaricales; Amanitaceae.
UUGGCCUCAAAUCAGGUAGGACUACCCGCUGAACUUAAGCAUAUCAAUAAGCGGAGGAAAAGAAACUAACAAGGAUUCCCUUAGUAACUGCGAGUGAAGAGGGAAGAGCUCAAAUUUAAAAUCUGACAGUGUCUUGCUGUCCGAGUUGUAAUCUAGAGAAGUGCUGCCCGUGCUGGACCAUGUACAAGUCUCCUGGAANUGGAGCGUCACAGAGGGUGAGAAUCCCGUCUUUGACAUGGACUGCCAGUGCAUUUGUGGUGUGCUCUCAAAGAGUCGAGUUGUUUGGGAAUGCAGCUCUAAAUGGGUGGUAAACUCCAUCUAAAGCUAAAUAUUGG